GGCCCGGUGGUUCAGUUGGUUAGAAUGCCGCCCUGUCACGGCGGAGGUCACGAGUUCGAGUCUCGUCCGGGUCGCCA
RNAcentral lists this transfer RNA (77 nucleotides) under Succiniclasticum ruminis. RNAcentral describes it as "tRNA_Asp_GTC". It matches the Rfam family "tRNA". Rfam says of the family: Transfer RNA (tRNA) molecules are approximately 80 nucleotides in length. Their secondary structure includes four short double-helical elements and three loops (D, anti-codon, and T loops). RNAcentral also lists the same sequence under 7 other names. Lineage: Bacteria; Bacillati; Bacillota; Negativicutes; Acidaminococcales; Acidaminococcaceae. The record is from RNAcentral.